Molecule: non-coding RNA, 43 nt
Filed under: unclassified sequences
Source: RNAcentral
UGGGGGCCGCGAUCCCCCCGUGAGGCUUCGGCCCAAGCGUCGC